AUGGAGUUCGCCACGGGGGCGAUGAGCUCUCUCCUCCCCAAGUUGGGGGAGCUGCUCAUGGAGCAGUAUGAGCUGAAGGGGAGUGUGAAGAAGGGGAUUGAAGAACUCAAGGACGAGCUCGUGAGCAUUGAAGCAGCCCUUGUCAAGCUGUCCAGCAAGCAGCCCUUGUCAAGCUGUCCAGCGUGCCCCUGGAUCAACUCGACCCGCAGUGACAUCAAGAACAUUGAGAGCCAAGUUAGGAAGAUCAAGGAAAGAUAUGACAGGUACAAGAUCGAUGAUGUUGUUGCUAAUCUUGCAACGACUCCAGUUGACCCUCGUCUCCCAUCUCUGUACAAAAAGCUAUCUGACCUUGUGGGUAUUGAUAAGCCAAUUGAUGAGCUGAUAAAGAUCCUGUCCGAGGGGGUUCACAUGCCUGACAAAAAUCUCAAGAUAGUCUCCAUUGUUGGAUUUGGGGGAUUGGGAAAGACAACUCUUGCAAAAGCAUUGUAUGACAAGCUUAGCAAAACAUAUCAGUGCCAAGGUUUUAUUCCAGUGGGUCAGAAUCCAAACACAAAGAAAGUUCUCAGGGACAUCCUGCUUGAACUUGACACUGAGCUAUACGGAGCCGCAGCAACAAUGGAUGAAAGGGUCGUGCAACACGAUCACGCUUGGCUCGUCACCGGAGCCGACGAAGGGCACCUGUGGGCGUCAUCCUUGACCCACGGCAUGGGUCCUGUUCAGCCCCUGCCGGCAAGCUCAUCCCCGCCUCGGCAUGCAUACCACGAGCUCGAGUUGGAAGGGAGCACGGGAGAUUUGGGUCCAUGUCAACCAAGGUUUUUCCCUGCACGGCUAUACCCCUCGGCUACAGCAGCCGCCGAGGUGGUGGCAGGAGAUUGCGCUUGGCAGGAACACAGCACAGCUGGGUGCGGCUCCUCCCACUCGGACGAUGUCGACCCUGCCUUCGUAGCUUGGUCCAUGGCGAGGAUGUGCUGGCCGCGUCAGACAAGAGAGGAUGGAGGGGGCACUAGCGAGGGUCUCAUCCAUGUCGGAGGAACUAGCUUGCCCUCAUCGGAGCACCAGCACUAG
This 1065-nucleotide ribosomal RNA is filed under the name Triticum aestivum (bread wheat). RNAcentral's name for it is "partial small subunit ribosomal RNA". Lineage: Eukaryota; Viridiplantae; Streptophyta; Magnoliopsida; Poales; Poaceae. The record is from RNAcentral.